Molecule: ribosomal RNA, 253 nt
Filed under: uncultured bacterium
Lineage: Bacteria
Description: partial 16S ribosomal RNA
Rfam family: Bacterial small subunit ribosomal RNA
Source: RNAcentral
UACGUAGGGGGCAAGCGUUGUCCGGAAUCAUUGGGCGUAAAGAGCUCGUAGGCGGUUUGUCGCGUCGAAUGUGAAAACCCGGGGCUCAACCCCGGGCCUGCAUUCGAUACGGGCAGACUAGAGUUCGGUAGGGGAGUCUGGAAUUCCUGGUGUAGCGGUGAAAUGCGCAGAUAUCAGGAGGAACACCGGUGGCGAAGGCGGGACUCUGGGCCGAUACUGACGCUGAGGAGCGAAAGCGUGGGGAGCAAACAGG